GAUGAACGCUGGCGGCGUGCCUAAUACAUGCAAGUCGAACGAACAGACUAGGAUCUUUCUCCUCUGUCGUUAGCUGCGUACGUGUGAGUCACACGUGUAUAACCUACCUAUAAGACUUGGAUCACUUCGGGAAACCGGAGCUAAUACCGGAUAAUAUUUUGAACCGCAUGGUUCAAUAGUGAAAGUCGGUUUUGCUGUCACUUAUCGAUGGAUCCUGGCCGCAUUACCUAGUUGGUAAGUUAACGGCUUACCAAGGUGACGAUGAGUAACCGACCUGAGAGGGUGGUAGGCAACACGGGAAGUGAGACACGGUCCAGACGUAUAAGGGAGGCAGCAGUAGGGAAUCUUCCGCAAGGGGGGAAAGCCUGACGGAGCAAAGCCGCGUGAGUGAUGAAGGUGUUCGGAUCGGAAAACGCUGUUAUUAGGGAAGAACAAAUGUGUAAGUAACUAUGCACGUAUUGACGGUACCUAAUCAGAAAGCCACGGCUAACUACGUG
This 497-nucleotide ribosomal RNA is filed under the name uncultured bacterium. RNAcentral describes it as "partial 16S ribosomal RNA". It matches the Rfam family "Bacterial small subunit ribosomal RNA", at positions 28 to 507 of the family's 1533-position model. The record is from RNAcentral.